RNAcentral lists this ribosomal RNA (1547 nucleotides) under Salmonella enterica subsp. enterica. RNAcentral describes it as "partial 23S ribosomal RNA". It matches the Rfam family "Bacterial large subunit ribosomal RNA", at positions 1196 to 2640 of the family's 2925-position model. Lineage: Bacteria; Pseudomonadati; Pseudomonadota; Gammaproteobacteria; Enterobacterales; Enterobacteriaceae. The record is from RNAcentral.
GAAGCUGCGGCAGCGAACGUAUCACCCAAGACAACUUUGCGGAGUUGACGAUUGACGGAGCGAAGCGACGUCAAAGCGUUCAUUAAAGUCGAGUUGGCUUAGGGAUACGUUCGUUGGGUAGGGGAGCGUUCUGUAAGCCUGUGAAGGUGGCCUGUGAGGGUUGCUGGAGGUAUCAGAAGUGCGAAUGCUGACAUAAGUAACGAUAAAGCGGGUGAAAAGCCCGCUCGCCGGAAGACCAAGGGUUCCUGUCCAACGUUAAUCGGGGCAGGGUGAGUCGACCCCUAAGGCGAGGCCGAAAGGCGUAGUCGAUGGGAAACGGGUUAAUAUUCCCGUACUUGGUGUUACUGCGAAGGGGGGACGGAGAAGGCUAUGUUGGCCGGGCGACGGUUGUCCCGGUUUAAGCGUGUAGGUGUGUGUUCCAGGUAAAUCCGGUUCACUUUAACACUGAGGCGUGAUGACGAGGCACUACGGUGCUGAAGCAACAAAUGCCCUGCUUCCAGGAAAAGCCUCUAAGCAUCAGGUAACACGAAAUCGUACCCCAAACCGACACAGGUGGUCAGGUAGAGAAUACCAAGGCGCUUGAGAGAACUCGGGUGAAGGAACUAGGCAAAAUGGUGCCGUAACUUCGGGAGAAGGCACGCUGACACGUAGGUGAAGUGAUUUACUCAUGGAGCUGAAGUCAGUCGAAGAUACCAGCUGGCUGCAACUGUUUAUUAAAAACACAGCACUGUGCAAACACGAAAGUGGACGUAUACGGUGUGACGCCUGCCCGGUGCCGGAAGGUUAAUUGAUGGGGUCAGCGCAAGCGAAGCUCCUGAUCGAAGCCCCGGUAAACGGCGGCCGUAACUAUAACGGUCCUAAGGUAGCGAAAUUCCUUGUCGGGUAAGUUCCGACCUGCACGAAUGGCGUAAUGAUGGCCAGGCUGUCUCCACCCGAGACUCAGUGAAAUUGAACUCGCUGUGAAGAUGCAGUGUACCCGCGGCAAGACGGAAAGACCCCGUGAACCUUUACUAUAGCUUGACACUGAACAUUGAGCCUUGAUGUGUAGGAUAGGUGGGAGGCUUUGAAGUGUGGACGCCAGUCUGCAUGGAGCCGACCUUGAAAUACCACCCUUUAAUGUUUGAUGUUCUAACGUGGACCCGUAAUCCGGGUUGCGGACAGUGUCUGGUGGGUAGUUUGACUGGGGCGGUCUCCUCCUAAAGAGUAACGGAGGAGCACGAAGGUUGGCUAAUCCUGGUCGGACAUCAGGAGGUUAGUGCAAUGGCAUAAGCCAGCUUGACUGCGAGCGUGACGGCGCGAGCAGGUGCGAAAGCAGGUCAUAGUGAUCCGGUGGUUCUGAAUGGAAGGGCCAUCGCUCAACGGAUAAAAGGUACUCCGGGGAUAACAGGCUGAUACCGCCCAAGAGUUCAUAUCGACGGCGGUGUUUGGCACCUCGAUGUCGGCUCAUCACAUCCUGGGGCUGAAGUAGGUCCCAAGGGUAUGGCUGUUCGCCAUUUAAAGUGGUACGCGAGCUGGGUUUAGAACGUCGUGAGACAGUUCGGUCCCUA